This 591-nucleotide ribosomal RNA is filed under the name Triticum aestivum (bread wheat). RNAcentral describes it as "partial small subunit ribosomal RNA". The record is from RNAcentral. Lineage: Eukaryota; Viridiplantae; Streptophyta; Magnoliopsida; Poales; Poaceae.
AUGCGGGUGAGCAGUCCUGAUGGUUUCGGUGCAGCUGCUCUAGCUUGUAUCGCCACCACGAUGGUGGUCGUCGCCGAGCACUUGCCUAAGGUCAUCAAAAGGCAGGUGUACUACGGAUCCGAAUCGUCCUGUCAGGAAAGCAAUCUGUCACCAGAUCUGGAGCAUGACUCUAGACUCCCACAACACGAGUUCGACUCCGAGUUUUGCUCCACUGAGAAGUACCAAAAGCUGAGUUGUGUGCAUGGGCACACUCCUGCUCGACGUGUAUGCAUGGAGGGAUUCUACAUUGGCAGACGGUUUCUCAGUUGCCCCUUAGAGGGAUAUGAGGCUUGUGCCUUUGUUAACUGGCUGGAUGAAGAACGGCAUGGCAGGGCUCGGAGUGUUAUCACCAAGUUCAUAGAAGAUAACGUUAAGCUGAAGAAGAAACUGGCUGAUCUGGAAUGUACAUUCAGUACGAUGAAGCAAGAAAGAAUUAAUCACAAGCAACAGAUGAAAGCAAGAGACAAGAAGGAACUAGCAUGUGUAGUUGUGGUUGUCACAUUAGCCAUGUUCUAUGCGCUGUUUGCAAUAAUGAUUGGGGGUUUUGUUUGA